RNAcentral lists this ribosomal RNA (361 nucleotides) under uncultured bacterium. RNAcentral describes it as "bacterial SSU rRNA". It matches the Rfam family "Bacterial small subunit ribosomal RNA", at positions 393 to 769 of the family's 1533-position model. The record is from RNAcentral.
AACGCCGCGUGAAGGAAGAAGGCUUUCGGGUUGUAAACUUCUUUUCUCAGGGACGAAGCAAGUGCCGGUACCUGAGGAAUAAGCCACGGCUAACUACGUGCCAGCAGCCGCGGUAAUACGUAGGGGGCUAGCGUUAUCCGGAAUUACUGGGCGUAAAGGGUGCGUAGGUGGUUUCUUAAGUCAGAGGUGAAAGGCUACGGCUCAACCGUAGUAAGCCUUUGAAACUGGGAAACUUGAGUGCAGGAGAGGAGAGUGGAAUUCCUAGUGUAGCGGUGAAAUGCGUAGAUAUUAGGAGGAACACCAGUUGCGAAGGCGGCUCUCUGGACUGUAACUGACACUGAGGCACGAAAGCGUGGGGAGC